Molecule: non-coding RNA, 571 nt
Organism: Sus scrofa (pig)
Lineage: Eukaryota; Metazoa; Chordata; Mammalia; Artiodactyla; Suidae
Source: RefSeq, a predicted model, not a curated record
AGCCGGGCAACAGGUGCCGCGCUUGCGCGCAGGGCGGACACGUUGGUCAGACGCCAGCAGGAGGUGGUGGAUUGGUCCGGUGGGAUCCUGGCAUUUACGCCCAGGUGGCGGGAGGACUGGGCGCGAGUUCCGCUAUAAGCGGAACAACUGACACGUUCUGGUGGAGCUGUAGAGGGUAACCAGGAGUCACCAAAACAUCGACUUACUGCGGGCUGGUGAACCUGGGCCGGUUUCAGGCGCUCAAGCUCGCAUCCGUUAAUCCAUUAGCAGCCACGCAUUCAAUGGAAGAGUCCCCCCUGCACCUGCGGUUUUUCCAAUGCAUUUGGUUGAAGAUACUCACUAUACCAAGGAGCUGUAUUUUGAGGUCGUAUAUCCUGAACCCCCUCCUUACAAACACCUGGAGAGAAAUUUGGCACUUUCCAGUUGAGUCCAUCCCAGGAGAGGGGGUCUAGUUCCCUGUGCUAUACGGUAAGACCUUGAUGCUUAUCCUUUUUAAAUGUGCUGGUUUGCACCUACUCCCCCCAAACUCCCAGUCCCUCCCUCGCCCUCCCCCCACCGGCUUGGCAACCAC